Molecule: ribosomal RNA, 1016 nt
Filed under: Teratosphaeria fibrillosa
Lineage: Eukaryota; Fungi; Ascomycota; Dothideomycetes; Mycosphaerellales; Teratosphaeriaceae
Description: SSU rRNA
Rfam family: Eukaryotic small subunit ribosomal RNA
Source: RNAcentral
AAACUGCGAAUGGCUCAUUAAAUCAGUUAUCGUUUAUUUGAUAGUACCUUACUACAUGGAUAACCGUGGUAAUUCUAGAGCUAAUACAUGCUAAAAACCCCGACUCCGGAAGGGGUGUAUUUAUUAGAUAAAAAACCAAUGCCCUCCGGGGCUCCUUGGUGAAUCAUAAUAACUUAACGAAUCGCAUGGCCUUGCGCCGGCGAUGGUUCAUUCAAAUUUCUGCCCUAUCAACUUUCGACGGUAGGAUAGUGGCCUACCAUGGUUUCGACGGGUAACGGGGAAUUAGGGUUCGAUUCCGGAGAGGGAGCCUGAGAAACGGCUACCACAUCCAAGGAAGGCAGCAGGCGCGCAAAUUACCCAAUCCCGACACGGGGAGGUAGUGACAAUAAAUACUGAUACAGGGCUCUUUUGGGUCUUGUAAUUGGAAUGAGUACAAUUUAAAUCCCUUAACGAGGAACAAUUGGAGGGCAAGUCUGGUGCCAGCAGCCGCGGUAAUUCCAGCUCCAAUAGCGUAUAUUAAAGUUGUUGCAGUUAAAAAGCUCGUAGUUGAACCUUGGGCCUGGCUGGCCGGUCCGCCUCACCGCGUGUACUGGUCCGGCCGGGCCUUUCCUUCUGGGGAGCCGCAUGCCCUUCAUUGGGCGUGCCGGGGAUCCAGGACUUUUACUUUGAAAAAAUUAGAGUGUUCAAAGCAGGCCUUUGCUCGAAUACAUUAGCAUGGAAUAAUAGAAUAGGACGUGCGGUCCUAUUUUGUUGGUUUCUAGGACCGCCGUAAUGAUUAAUAGGGAUAGUCGGGGGCAUCCGUAUUCAAUUGUCAGAGGUGAAAUUCUUGGAUUUAUUGAAGACGAACUACUGCGAAAGCAUUUGCCAAGGAUGUUUUCAUUAAUCAGGAACGAAAGUUAGGGGAUCGAAGACGAUCAGAUACCGUCGUAGUCUUAACCAUAAACUAUGCCGACUAGGGAUCGGCGGGUGUUUCUAUUUUGACCCCGUCGGCACCUUACGAGAAAUCAAAGUUUUGG